AAGUUCUCUAAAUCUGUGCUUAUGAAGCAAUUAAGCUGGAAAAAAGCUACAGCUUGAAAUGAGUGUGAUGGACGAUGCUGCUCGUGCGUAACAAGUGAAUAUCCCAGCGGUACGGAAGCGGCAUCUUUGUUCCACAGCCGCCACGCAGGGCGUGCGUGUAUUUCCCCCCAGAAAUUGGCAAUGGCAGUAAAACAGGACUCGUGCUAAUUCGGUAUUACACAAACUUCAUCCCGAUACAGCACAACCCACGACCCAUAGCUUACGAUAAUAAGGAGGUCCUUAGUGAGAACUGCAGCCCAGGAAAUAGGGAGAAGAAAAGUGUUACCCAAAGAAUAUUAUUAUGUUUUUAAUUAUUAUUUCCCACUACUCAAAUCAGUAAUUGUUUUUUUUUAAUUGUCAGCAAAUAUAAUGUUCACAAGCCGAGCCUGUUUUUCUCAGGACAGAAUCAUAAAGCGAUCUGUCUCCCCGUUCUUUCGGUGUCAGAGAUUUCCACCUUUAGUUCUCGAUGAAGAGGGGCACCGAGAGAACGGCCAGACGGGAGCGCGUCCUUUAGCCGCGGCCAACUCACCGCAGCAUCAGCAACCAUUCACGGACACUCGGCCACUUCACUGGAAAGAAACUGAGCAACCAAAUGUAGAGCAUGCAGUGCCAAAGAGCCAAUCGCUUCAGGGAUCAUCCCUCUUCCUCUUCACAUUCCCCAAGAUGAAAACCUUCAGCGGCAAACGAGCGAGGCCAACGCACAGAAAGAGACCGCACACCCACAUCUUUGUGAGCUCAUUCCUGCAGGACCAAGACCACCACCACCAAGGAGUCAUCACCACCCAGGAGCCACUCCAAGUCCCACAGAAGACCCCUUCACCAUGGAUGGGCCACCCCAUCACAGCCCCACUCAAGAGGAGCCCCAAGGGGGACAGGGGGACUUAGCCUCCCACCACACUCAGGGGGGCGGAGGGAGUCUCAAAGGGGGCAGGGGAGGGCCGAGGGAGGGGCUAAGGGGACAGGGGAGGGCAAGGGAGGGCUAAGGGGAGGGGCCCCAGGGGGGCAGGGGAGGGCUGAGGGAGGGGCCCCAAGGGGGCAAGGGGAGGGGCCCCGGGGGGAGGGCCGAGGGGCAGGGGAGGGGCCCCCAAGCGGGGCCCCCAAAAAAAAUGCCACUGACAUGCCCACCCUCCCGCCAAAAAAAAAAAUAUAUCUCUUUAGAGAUAGUGCAAAAUCCGGCCUCCAGCACCAUUACAAGGGGGAGAACACAACUCAGGCUGAGUCUAGACUCAGCCUGAGUUGUGUUCUCCCCCAGAAAAAAAAAACAAGAAAAACUUAGAAAAUAAAAAUAAAUUUUAAAAACUUAAACA
This 1346-nucleotide long non-coding RNA is filed under the name Coturnix japonica (Japanese quail). RNAcentral's name for it is "lncRNA (ENSCJPG00005007612.1)". Lineage: Eukaryota; Metazoa; Chordata; Aves; Galliformes; Phasianidae. The record is from RNAcentral.